GCGAAAUUGGGCAAAAAGGGGCAAGCCCAAAAUUGAUAAUCGAUAAGCGAAGUCGGCACCCCUGUUCCAUGCGCAACACUGCGGUAAAGAGGAAGCAUGUGUUACUCCAUGUUCCAGCGUCUACAAACUGUGUGGAGGAAGAAGCAACGCGGAGAAGUUCCUCGGACAGCUUUGGAACAAUGAGUGCCCAGUUCCUGCGAUGGAGAGGCAGGAGUCCGCCAGCUCCCGACUGAACCCCAUGAUACAGGCUAUCAUUGGUCGGGCACCAACGACGAUCACUGUUGAGUAUAAGGUGAAAAACGGCGGUUCUACGGUUGGGUGCCAAUCUUUCAAAGUUCGCGUUGAUGCUGCUUGAACGUCAAGGUAGGAUCGGCGAACUUCCACAGGUGAAAUGCGACGGCUACCGACUUUGGCGAGUAAGAUCCACUCGCAGCAAUAAAGAGUUUCACCAAAACGUC
This is a non-coding RNA of Dermacentor andersoni, 458 nucleotides long. The record is from RefSeq and is a predicted model, not a curated record. Lineage: Eukaryota; Metazoa; Arthropoda; Arachnida; Ixodida; Ixodidae.